AUACGUAGGUGGCAAGCGUUGUCCGGAUUUACUGGGCGUAAAGGAUGCGUAGGCGGAUAUUUAAGUGAGAUGUGAAAUUCCCGGGCUUAACUUGGGAGCUGCAUUUCAAACUGGAUGUCUAGAGUGCAGGAGGGGAGAAUGGAAUUCCUAGUGUAGCGGUGAAAUGCGUAGAGAUUAGGAAGAACACCAGUGGCGAAGGCGAUUCUCUGGACUGUAACUGACGCUGAGGCAUGAAAGCGUGGGUAGCAAACAGGAUUAGAUACCCUGGUAGUCCACGCCGUAAACGAUGAGUACUAGGUGUAGGAGGUCCAACCUUCUGUGCCGCAGUUAACACAAUAAGUACUCCGCCUGGGAAGUACGAUCGCAAGAUUAAA
RNAcentral lists this ribosomal RNA (374 nucleotides) under uncultured bacterium. RNAcentral describes it as "bacterial SSU rRNA". It matches the Rfam family "Bacterial small subunit ribosomal RNA", at positions 523 to 898 of the family's 1533-position model. The record is from RNAcentral.